UGAUGCAAAGUCUGUGAACUACGCUGCCUA
This 30-nucleotide non-coding RNA is filed under the name Rattus norvegicus (Norway rat). Lineage: Eukaryota; Metazoa; Chordata; Mammalia; Rodentia; Muridae. The record is from RNAcentral.